Long non-coding RNA from Brassica napus (rape), 1575 nucleotides. RefSeq lists it as uncharacterized. The record is from RefSeq and is a predicted model, not a curated record. NCBI's taxonomy places the organism in Eukaryota, Viridiplantae, Streptophyta, Magnoliopsida, Brassicales, Brassicaceae. The transcript has 2 exons.
UUACAGAGAAAGUAUGGGACCUUGUCUGGAAGCAUGGUAGAAAAGACUGCAUUAUAUGACUAAAGCGGAGUCUAUUCUAUUUUAACUAAUAAAGUAGUAUACUAUGUACAACACUUGAUUCAUAAUGAAUAUUCUACUUUUCCUUCUAUUCAACAACAAGAAAUAUUUUAUUUUAACCAUACCAGCAUGUAGAUGGUCGCAAAUCUAUUCCAUUUUAUUUGAAUAACAAAGCCGAUUCGAAAGUUGAAUAGAAAUCUCACAAAAGUCCAAACAAAAAGUCUCAUACCUUUGGUGUAAUGCGUUUACACAUAGUGAAUCUCACAUGCAAUAUAAAAACACUUCUAUUUCAGAUUGUCCAAAUCUUUUCAACUAGUUAAUAUUGUAACACAAAUGAUUGGAAAAUUUAAGAGAACCGGAGAUAAUAAGACAAUAAUCAGAACUCACAGUGUUACAUUUUUUCCGCAACUAAGUCGAAUCAGCAACCACUAUUACUUUAACUCAAAACUCUCAUGUUCUUGCAUCCUCACGACUGUUGAUAUCAGAAUCCGAGGAACUUCCCCAUCCAUCACCGAGAGAGGCUUCAAAUAUAAUUUGAUGUUCCAAAAAAAAAAUCUAAAAAUUAGUGGUAUCACUGUCUAGAAAAUUGGAGAAAGAAUCUGGAAAGUUAAAGAAUACAUGGUUGAAGGAUGUAAAGAAAGGUAUGUGAAUAUUAUUUUUGUUACAAGUUUUACCUGCUAGAUACAAUAGUAAAAACGAAAUAUUAUACAAAAAAAAAUAUAUCCUGUAUAGGAGUAAAUUAGGAAAAUUGGUCAGAUAGCGAAUUAUAAUAUUUUUAAACUAGGAAAAUUGGUCAGAUAGCGAAUUAUAAUAUUUUUAAACGUUAUACCGUUCAAUUUCCCAAUAAAUAAAUCACCAUACCGAUAAAUAAAUAAAGCACCAUACGAAUAUUUGAGUUAUUAACACAAAUAGGCAAUUUAUGAGUUUUUAUUAUACUCUAGAGCACAUUGUGCUACACAAACACUUUUCUGUGGUUGAAGACCAAAUUAUCCUCUAAAAAGAGAAACUAUGGAGAGACAUUUAAGUAAAAUGACAUUCUAUGCUAGUUGGACUGGUUAUAGAUUUUCUUUUCUUUUUGAUUUUUGAAUUUCUCUUAUUUUGUACGGUGGACCCGAAGGAAACAUUAAACUAAGUUUAUUUUUGACUUUUUUUUCUUUUCUUUUACGGUGAAACCUCCUCACCGAGAGCUUUGAUUUUGACGACAUAGUUGUUGACUAGGGAGAUGACGACGAGAUAAAAAUGACCGGGGAAGAAGAAAGCCAAAGGUUAGUGUGCAGCAAACGAUGGAGAUCGGCGAAUCUGAAAUCGUUGUGGUAGGGUGUAUGGGGAUUGAGACAAUGUUUUUCUGCAAUUAUUAUGUUUUCUCUAAUUAUGCUAGUCAGUCACAUAAAGUGAUGUUGUUUGUUCAAAAAUUGUAGAGAAAAAAACAUACUAAGUGUUCGACAAAAUGUGUGGAUAUUAUCAAAGAUGUACAUAUGGACAACAAAGUAUGGACAAGUAAUGUAGAUAUUCUAAGCA